Molecule: long non-coding RNA, 2654 nt
Organism: Homo sapiens (human)
Lineage: Eukaryota; Metazoa; Chordata; Mammalia; Primates; Hominidae
Gene: SLC12A2-DT
Product: SLC12A2 divergent transcript
Source: Ensembl
GUCAGUGCGGCUUCCCACUAGGCGCGUGGUACCCGAGGCCGGGCCGGAGCCGCAGGCCAGCCGCGAUUCCUUCGGGCGAUGCUGGGGGCUUUCCGGUCGGGGCCGCAGCCGCUUCCGGAGCCGCGGGCGAGGUGCGUUCCCCAGCCUGGUUUGCUCUGGGCUCUGACCCGCCGCCGCGAAUCUCCGCUCGUAACUCCGGGCCUGAACCUGGAGGAGGGAGGAUUUCCUCUGUGCAGCUUUCGAGCGGUAGACUCACCCUGCCAGGCAGACCUAGAUUGGCAUAACCAGAGAUCAGUUCCAGUUGUGAUGCAGUGGGUGUCUACACACUUCUGAUGACACCUUUAUUUUAAAAGCUGAUGUUCCAAGGUGCAAGCGGUCUUCUCUGUCUUCUUUAUGGCCAGUAAAAUUCUCCAGAAGAGAUUUAUGGCAGCCUCACUCCCAGUAGUUUCUGCAUUUAGUGAGAUAAGAUGGAAUCUUGCUCUCUUGCUCAGACUGGAGUGCAGUGGCAUGACCUUGGCUCACUGCAACCUCACCUCUCGGGUUCAAGCGAUUCUGCCUCAGCCUCUCGAGUAGCUGGGACUACAGGUGGGAGACCUCCACAGAACCCUUCCAGCAAGCUGUCUUCUAAAGCAAACAAGAAAAGGAAAGUCUGAGCAGUUUUGAUUAGAUUUCCCAGAAGUCAAAGCAAGGAAAAAUGAAAAAGCUUCAUUUCUCACGUUCUUAAAAGAGAGCACAGAUGUUGCAUCAUCUGGUUAGAUACCCUGAGAAUAAAAUCUGGAUCCAGUGAGAGGAAAGAUUCUGGGUGCUCAUGAAAAAAGAAACAAAACAAAACUUGGGAGCCUCUUGAGAGUGUACAGCAUCAGCCCUUGCCAACUCUUGUUUAUAUGCAUUUAACUUUCAGUUAACCAUGGGAAUAAUUCAUGAAAAUCCAAUCUACAAACAAAGGCCAUCCUAACGUUCAUGUUAUUCUUUUCCCUAAGAAUCUUUCACAAGAGCUAUAAUCAAGUAGAAUUAUGCUUUGAUUUGAAUUCUAAUUCAAUUGAAAAUAAAAAAUGAGGGCCGGACGCGGUGGCUCAUGCCUGUAAUCCCAGCGCUUUGGGAGGCUGAGGUGGACGGAUCACGAGGUCAGGAGAUCGAGACCAUCCUGGCUAACACGGUGAAACCCGAUCCCUACUAAAAAUACAAAAAAUUAGCCGGGCGUGGUGGCAGGCGCCUGUAGUCCCAGCUACUCGGGAGGCUGAGGCAGGAGAAUGGCGUGAACCCAGGAGGCAGAGGUUGCAGUGAGCCGAGAUCAUGCUACUGCACUCCAGCCUGGGCGACAGAGCGAGACUCUGUGUAUAAAUAAAUAAAUAAAUAAAUAAAUAACGAAAAGGUUGCCAUUGCCCUUUCUGGGGAAAGUGAUAAUGAGGAAAGACUAGUUUCUUAACCCAAGUCAGCUUUAGAGUCGGCAAGGAUGCAAUUUGAGGUGAUCCAGGAAAACUCUAUUAGCAUGGUAUUUCCCAUACAGAUUCAUUUCUUUUAGGCCUGAAGUCUUUUUGGCACUUCUUAAUAAAAUCACAGAUACCUCUUGGACAUGAAAGCUUAUCCUUUAUCAAUUUCUAUCAGUUAACCACUCAGAUGAGGAUAAAGGCCUGAGUCAGAAAGGACAGAGAGAGGUUCCACAAAGAGAUAAAAGAUGAGUGGCCAUAAGGAGUCCUUGAAAACACACCUCUCUAGCCCAUCAAAAAAUGCAGCACCUUAAACUCAAGUCCAUCUUACUAGCCUUUAGCAGUACCCCACCACUCUCAAAAUUUCCAGCAUUAAAUGUCUCGGAGCUAUAUAAAAGGCAGACUUAGGUAUAAGUAGGAAGAGAUAUCAAGGGCUUGGGUAUCAUUUCAGCACUAAUGGAGCUUAUGGCAUGUAUGAAUGAACCUGAUGCGUGGUCUCCACGGUAGAUUGUUACAAUUGAGGUCCCACAUUUAUGAGAUUCCCAGUGAAAACAAAUCUCACAGCUUCACCUGAGAGAAACAUUACUGUCAGUCUCAGAUACAAAAGCCUGCUGCUAUUAGGUACCUAUACACCUGCUGAAAAUGGACCAGCUUUGCUGUAGUAGUGCGCGCAGGCAAAAAAAAAAAAAAACAUAAAAAUAACCCGUUUCUCAACAAAUAAAAUUAAUUGGCAGUCAUCACAUUCCCAAGGGAUCAAGGGGUAAAAUCUUUGGCAGCAUAUUGCACAGUGGGCAGGGUGUUUUUGGCUUCAUAAAAGUGAUAAGAGGAGACAACAGGCUAUUCUCUGCUCUUAGAAAUUAUUAGCUCUUUACUAACAUUUAAGAAUCCAUGGGGAAAUUUUUGCUCUGAAUUUGUUAGAAUGUUUAAUAUUAUAACAAUAAUAUUUAAGAUGUUGGUUUGAAGGUGGGGCACGGUGGCUCACGCCUGUAAUCCCAGCACUUUGGGAGGCUGAAGCAGGUGGAUUACUUGAGGUCAGGAGUUUAAGACCAGCCUGGCCAAAUGGUGAAACCUCAUCUCUACUAAAAAUACAAAUAUUAGCCAGGUGUGGUGGUGCACACCUGUAAUCCCAGCUACUCGGGAGGCUGAGGCUCGAGAAUCACUUCAACCUGGGAGUUGCAGGUUGCAUUGAGCUGAGAUUGUGCCACAGCAUUCCAGCCUGGGCGACAG